ACUCAAAUGAAUAGACGGGGACCCGCACAAGCGGUGGAGCAUGUGGUUUAAUUCGACGCAACGCGAAGAACCUUACCUGAGCUAGAAUGUGAGGGAAGAGAGGGUAAUUCCGAUCGUCCGGGAAACCGGACCCAAAACAAGGUGCUGCAUGGCUGUCGUCAGCUCGUGUCGUGAGAUGUUGGGUUAAGUCCCGCAACGAGCGCAACCCUUAACUCUAGUUGCCAGCAUUAAGUUGGGAACUCUAGAGUGACUGCCGUUGAUAAAACGGAGGAAGGUGGGGAUGAUGUCAAGUCAUCAUGGCCUUUAUGCCCAGGGCUACACACGUGCUACAAUGGCCGGUACAAAACGUCGCAAACCCGUAAGGGGAAGCUAAUCGCAAAAACCGGUCUCAGUUCGGAUUGGAGUCUGCAACUCGACUCCAUGAAGUUGGAAUCGCUAGUAAUCGCGAAUCAGAACGUCGCGGUGAAUACGUUCCCGGGUCUUGUACACACCGCCCGU
Molecule: ribosomal RNA, 498 nt
Filed under: uncultured bacterium
Lineage: Bacteria
Description: partial 16S ribosomal RNA
Rfam family: Bacterial small subunit ribosomal RNA
Source: RNAcentral